RNAcentral lists this ribosomal RNA (1256 nucleotides) under Reticulomyxa filosa. RNAcentral's name for it is "bacterial LSU rRNA". It matches the Rfam family "Bacterial large subunit ribosomal RNA", at positions 1679 to 2925 of the family's 2925-position model. The record is from RNAcentral. Lineage: Eukaryota; Foraminifera; Reticulomyxidae.
UUCUAAGGCGCUUGAGAGAACUCAGGAGAAGGAACUCGGCAAAUUGACACCGUAACUUCGGGAGAAGGUGUGCCUCUGUCGGUGUAGGACUUCGCGUCCGAAGCUGAUAGAGGUCGCAGAGAAUAGGUGGCUGCGACUGUUUAACAAAAACACAGCUCUGUGCCAACACGAAAGUGGACGUAUACGGAGUGACGCCUGCCCGGUGCUGGAAGAUUAAAUGAUGGGGUGCAAGCUCUUGAUUGAAGUCCCAGUAAACGGCGGCCGUAACUAUAACGGUCCUAAGGUAGCGAAAUUCCUUGUCGGGUAAGUUCCGACCCGCACGAAUGGCGUAACGAUGGCCACACUGUCUCCUCCUGAGACUCAGCGAAGUUGAAAUGUUUGUGAAGAUGCAAUCUACCCGCUGCUAGACGGAAAGACCCCGUGAACCUUUACUGUAGCUUUGCAUUGGACUUUGAACAGACUUGUGUAGGAUAGGUGGGAGGCUAUGAAGUACGGACGCUAGUUCGUAUGGAGCCGUCCUUGAAAUACCACCCUGGUGUGUUUGAGGUUCUAACCUUGGUCCGUGAUCCGGAUCGGGGACAGUGCAUGGUAGGCAGUUUGACUGGGGCGGUCUCCUCCCAAAGUGUAACGGAGGAGUUCGAAGGUUACCUAGGUACGGUCGGAAAUCGUGCUGAUAGUGCAAUGGCAAAAGGUAGCUUAACUGCGAGACCGACAAGUCGAGCAGGUGCGAAAGCAGGACAUAGUGAUCCGGUGGUUCUGAAUGGAAGGGCCAUCGCUCAACGGAUAAAAGGUACUCCGGGGAUAACAGGCUGAUUCCGCCCAAGAGUUCACAUCGACGGCGGAGUUUGGCACCUCGAUGUCGGCUCAUCACAUCCUGGGGCUGUAGCCGGUCCCAAGGGUAUGGCUGUUCGCCAUUUAAAGUGGUACGUGAGCUGGGUUCAAAACGUCGUGAGACAGUUUGGUCCCUAUCUGCAGUGGGCGUUGGAAGUUUGACGGGGGCUGCUCCUAGUACGAGAGGACCGGAGUGGACGAACCUCUGGUGUACCGGUUGUGACGCCAGUCGCAUCGCCGGGUAGCUAAGUUCGGAAGAGAUAACCGCUGAAAGCAUCUAAGCGGGAAACUUGCCUGAAGAUGAGACUUCCCUGGAGGCUUGACCUCCCUGAAGAGUCGUUCGAGACCAGGACGUUGAUAGGUCGGGUGUGGAAGCGCUGUGAGGCGUUAAGCUAACCGAUACUAAUUGCUCGUGAGGCUUGAUC